AUACGUAGGGUGCGAGCGUUGUCCGGAAUUACUGGGCGUAAAGAGCUCGUAGGUGGUUUGUCGCGUCGUCUGUGAAAUUCCGGGGCUUAACUCCGGGCGUGCAGGCGAUACGGGCAUAACUUGAGUACUGUAGGGGAGACUGGAAUUCCUGGUGUAGCGGUGAAAUGCGUAGAGAUCGGGAGGAACACCAGUGGCGAAGGCGGGUAACUGGACUGCAACUGACGCUGAGGAGCGAAAGCAUGGGUAGCGAACAGGAUUAGAUACCCUGGUAGUCCAUGCCGUAAACGGUGGGCGCUAGGUGUAGGGGUCUUCCACGACUUCUGUGCCGUAGCUAACGCAUUAAGCGCCCCGCCUGGGGAGUACGGCCGCAAGGCUAAAACUCAAAGGAAUUGACGGGG
Molecule: ribosomal RNA, 398 nt
Filed under: uncultured bacterium
Lineage: Bacteria
Description: partial 16S ribosomal RNA
Rfam family: Bacterial small subunit ribosomal RNA
Source: RNAcentral